AACGAGGUAGUUUAUAAAAAAUAAUUCUUUUGCAUAGAAUAGAUAAGGCCUUAGAGCCUUCAUUGUUA
Molecule: transfer RNA, 68 nt
Filed under: Cichlidogyrus mbirizei
Lineage: Eukaryota; Metazoa; Platyhelminthes; Monogenea; Dactylogyridea; Ancyrocephalidae
Description: tRNA-Ala
Source: RNAcentral